Molecule: ribosomal RNA, 327 nt
Filed under: uncultured Cercozoa
Lineage: Eukaryota; Cercozoa
Also listed under: 1 other name
Description: bacterial SSU rRNA
Rfam family: Eukaryotic small subunit ribosomal RNA (bases 111-327)
Source: RNAcentral
GAUUUCUGAUUUAAUAUGCUUAGCCCGCUACGGUUACGUAUGUGAGUGCUGAGUUCGUAUUUAUCAUCCUUCUAGAAAACAAUAGUUUGCUCUUUAUUGAGUAAUACUAUGCAAUCUAGAUCUUUUACUUUGAAAAAAUUAGAGUGUUUAAAGCAGGCUUUUUGCUAUGAAUACGUUAGCAUGGAAUAAUAAUUUAGGAUUUCGGUUCUAUUUUGUUGGUUUCUAGUACUGAAGUAAUGAUUGAUAGGGAUAGUUGGGGGUGCUCGUAUUCAUACGCCAGGGGUGAAAUCCUCGGAUUGUAUGAAGACGAACUUAUGCGAAAGCAUU